This 632-nucleotide long non-coding RNA is filed under the name Rattus norvegicus (Norway rat). RNAcentral's name for it is "long non-coding RNA NONRATT021641". The record is from RNAcentral. Lineage: Eukaryota; Metazoa; Chordata; Mammalia; Rodentia; Muridae.
CUGGAAAGUUGCUGGGUUUUGGACAUACAGAGCAUGUGGGAGCUAGAGAGGUAGAGGCUGAUCUUGCCAUGGAGAGACUUUGUAGGACUAGACAAGCCUGAAAGGACUUCUACAGUAUUUGAGAAAAAUCUAAUAGGUCUCUCACUGUCCUGGAACUCACCAUGAAGGUUAGGAUGACUGAACGGUGAAUUGCAUGGAUCUGUCUACCUGCUUCUGCCUGCACUAGUCAUGGUAUUACUGGCACAGGCUUCUCUACCAAGCUUUUUCAUGUUGCUUCAGACAAAGUCCAACUAGAGGAGGCAGCCACAGAGUGCUGAGCUGGAGCCCAGGCAACAUGGUCUUCUCUGAGAUUGGAAGAAUUCUGCACAUUUUUGGGAUGUUUGAAAUUAGCAAGCAUUGCCACUAUGGGAUUCCAGAUUGCUGUCAUCGCUCCCAAUUGAAAGCCCAUGACUGCUAGAGCCCUCCCCUCUCAUCCCCUGGGAACUACUAACAUCUGGGCCCUAUGGCUUUGCCUACUGUAGAAUUUCAUGUAAGUGGGGUUAUGCAAACUUUCACAACUGGCUUCUUUCACAUAGCAUGUUAUCUUUAGGAUGUAUUUGUGUUAUAAAUAUAGUCUUUCACUCUUUCUGGGC